GACGAACGCUGGCGGCGUGCCUAAUACAUGCAAGUAGAACGCUGAAGGAGGAGCUUGCUUCUCCGGAUGAGUUGCGAACGGGUGAGUAACGCGUAGGUAACCUGCCUGGUAGCGGGGGAUAACUAUUGGAAACGAUAGCUAAUACCGCAUAAGAGUAGAUGUCGCAUGACAUUUGCUUAAAAGGUGCAACUGCACCACUACCAGAUGGACCUGCGUUGUAUUAGCUAGUUGGUGAGGUAACGGCUCACCAAGGCAACGAUACAUAGCCGACCUGAGAGGGGGAUGGGCCACCCGGGGACUGAGACACGCCCAAGACCCCUCCGGAGGGAGGCAGUAGGGACUCUUGGGAAAGGGACGGAAGUCUAACCGAGCAACGCCGGGUGGGUGAAGAGGGUUGUCGGAUCGAAAAGCUCUGUUGAAAGAGAAGAACGGGGGUGGGGGUGAAAAGUUCACCCUGGGCGGGUAGUUAACAAAAAAGGGACGGCUAACUACGUC
RNAcentral lists this ribosomal RNA (495 nucleotides) under uncultured bacterium. Its description in RNAcentral is "partial 16S ribosomal RNA". It matches the Rfam family "Bacterial small subunit ribosomal RNA", at positions 28 to 507 of the family's 1533-position model. The record is from RNAcentral.